This 534-nucleotide small RNA is filed under the name Pan troglodytes (chimpanzee). RNAcentral's name for it is "retained intron". Lineage: Eukaryota; Metazoa; Chordata; Mammalia; Primates; Hominidae. The record is from RNAcentral.
UACAUUCAUAAUUGAAUUUUUGUCUUUCUCUUUUAGAUUAAUCUAAUAGCUCCUCCUCGGUAUGUAAUGACUACAACAACCCUGGAGAGAACAGAAGGCCUUUCUGUCCUCAGUCAAGCUAUGGCUGUUAUCAAAGAGAAGAUUGAGGAAAAGAGGGGUGUGUUCAAUGUUCAAAUGGAGCCCAAAGUGGUCACAGAUACAGAUGAGACUGAACUUGCAAGGCAGAUGGAGAGGCUUGAAAGAGAAAAUGCCGAAGUGGAUGGAGAUGAUGAUGCAGAAGAAAUGGAAGCCAAAGCUGAAGAUUAACUUUGUGGGAAACAGAGUCCAAUUUAAGGAACACAGAGCAGCCCUUCCUGGCUGUAAAUCCUAGACUUGAAAGUUUUCCAGUAUUGAAAACUUCAAAGCUGAAUAUUUUUUAUUUCUAAGUAUUUAAAUGUUCUAACAGAUCAGAACAUGAAAUGCCCUCCUAAAUGUCAGCUGUUGUCACACAGUAGCUCCAACACUUUGAGCAUUUUUAAGGGAGUGGCCUCAUUU